Molecule: ribosomal RNA, 458 nt
Filed under: uncultured bacterium
Lineage: Bacteria
Description: partial 16S ribosomal RNA
Rfam family: Bacterial small subunit ribosomal RNA
Source: RNAcentral
CCUACGGGAGGCAGCAGUGGGGAAUAUUGCACAAUGGGGGAAACCCUGAUGCAGCGACGCCGCGUGAGUGAAGAAGUAUUUCGGUAUGUAAAGUUCUAUCAGCAGGGAAGAAAUAGCGACCUUUGGGUCGCCAGACGGUACCUGACCAAGAAGCCCCGGCUAACUACGUGCCAGCAGCCGCGGUAAUACGUAGGGGGCAAGCGUUAUCCGGAUUUUCGGGGUGUAAAGGGAGCGUAGACGGCAGCACAAGUCUGAAGUGAAAUGCCGGGGCUUAACCCCGGAACUGCUUUGGAAACUGUGCAGCUAGAGUGCAGGAGAGGUAAGUGGAAUGCCUGGUGUAGCGGUGAAAUGCGUAGAUAUUAGGAGGAACACCAGUGGCGAAGGCGGCUUACUGGACUGUAACUGACGUUGAGGCUCGAAAGCGUGGGGAGCAAACAGGAUUAGAUACCCUGGUAGUC